Molecule: long non-coding RNA, 553 nt
Organism: Cebus imitator (Panamanian white-faced capuchin)
Lineage: Eukaryota; Metazoa; Chordata; Mammalia; Primates; Cebidae
Exons: 3
Source: RefSeq, a predicted model, not a curated record
CUGAGGCUUCCCCAGCCAUGUGGAACUAUUCCCAGAAUGGAGCCCUAGCAGAGGAGAAGGCAGACAUCGGCUGCUGCUCUCAGCCUCCUCUCAGCACCCUUGUCUACACGCAGGGGUUCUGCCAAGCUGAGCUGAACCAGAGACCCACUUGGGAGAGACCCAGGAGCUGAGAAGCACUAGCCAGUGGUAGUAGCCCUUCCAGUGGUCCCUCCAAAUUCACGGCCCCAGGAGUGGAGAAGCCGUGCUUGAUGCUCUCUGGCGUCAGCUCCUGAAGGUUCUGAGGGGAGGGAUGCCUUGGAGUGCUGAUUAGGAAGUCUGUGAACUCACUCCAGACCAUGCAAGGAAAGGGAGGUGCCCCAGGUUUGCUUUUUCUGCCCUUCCUUACUGGUGCUACCUUUGUAUUCUCAUCAGAAACCCGGUUGCAUUAUGUUGUCUUCGGCUUCCCUGCAUAUCUCAGCCCUACCUCAAGAAAGGAUGAGGAAGCUGAGUCUCAAGAGGCUAAGUGACCAUAUUCUCACAGCAAGUGAUGGAACGCGAAUCUGAAGCCAGGGGU